AGGGUGCGAGCGUUAAUCGGAAUCACUGGGCGUAAAGCGCACGUAGGCGGCUUUUCAAGUCAGGGGUGAAAUUCCACGGCUCAACCGUGGAACUGCCUUUGAAACUGGAGAGCUUGAGUAUCGGAGAGGGUGGCGGAAUUCCAGGUGUAGGAGUGAAAUCCGUAGAUAUCUGGAGGAACACCGGUGGCGAAGGCGGCCACCUGGACGACAACUGACGCUGAGGUGCGAAAGCGUGGGUAGCAA
This 243-nucleotide ribosomal RNA is filed under the name uncultured bacterium. Its description in RNAcentral is "partial 16S ribosomal RNA". It matches the Rfam family "Bacterial small subunit ribosomal RNA", at positions 529 to 771 of the family's 1533-position model. The record is from RNAcentral.